RNAcentral lists this ribosomal RNA (38 nucleotides) under Polygonum paronychia. Its description in RNAcentral is "partial 26S ribosomal RNA". The record is from RNAcentral. Lineage: Eukaryota; Viridiplantae; Streptophyta; Magnoliopsida; Caryophyllales; Polygonaceae.
GCGACCCCAGAUCGGGCGGGACUACCCGCUGAGUUUAA